Molecule: ribosomal RNA, 191 nt
Filed under: Enterobacter kobei
Lineage: Bacteria; Pseudomonadati; Pseudomonadota; Gammaproteobacteria; Enterobacterales; Enterobacteriaceae
Description: partial 16S ribosomal RNA
Rfam family: Bacterial small subunit ribosomal RNA
Source: RNAcentral
AAAUUGAAGAGUUUGAUCAUGGCUCAGAUUGAACGCUGGCGGCAGGCCUAACACAUGCAAGUCGAACGGUAGCACAGAGAGCUUGCUCUCGGGUGACGAGUGGCGGACGGGUGAGUAAUGUCUGGGAAACUGCCUGAUGGAGGGGGAUAACUACUGGAAACGGUAGCUAAUACCGCAUAACGUCGCAAGAC